UCCGCCUCUGGUUUUCCAAGAGGCCUGUCGCUACCCCGGGGGACACUCUCAUCCUUCAGUCAGUCUCCUGGACACCCCUUCCUCCUCCUGUCCCUCAACCUGACCUGGCUCUUUCGCCCCUCCGAGAACCGGCUGCCUUGGAGUUCUCAUAAGAAAUUGUCCCUGGAAGUGUUGGAUGGUCACAGCUUCCUUGGAGCAUUGCAGUUGCUGGAAUCCAGUUUCAGGAUUAAGGGAGGGCUGCCUCCUUGCAAUGGGCUGCCAAGAAAACGGCUGUGCUUGUUCUUAACCUCAGGCUCUGUCUGUGAUCAGUCUGAGAGUCUCUCCCAGGUCUACUGCUCCCUGGAAAGCCCUAUCUCUCUGCAGGCUCGCCUCUGGGCUUUGUCUCCUUGGAGCCACAUCACUGGGACAGCUGUGGAUGUGGAUGCAGAUUUGAACCAUGUCACGGCCCCAGGGACUGCUAUGGCUUCCUUUGUUGUUCACCCCGGUCUGCGUCAUGUUAAACUCCAAUGUCCUCCUGUGGUUAACUGCUCUUGCCAUCAAGUUCACCCUCAUUGACAGCCAAGCACAGUAUCCAGUUGUCAACACAAAUUAUGGCAAAAUCCGGGGCCUAAGAACACCGUUACCCAAUGAGAUCUUGGGUCCAGUGGAGCAGUACUUAGGGGUCCCCUAUGCCUCACCCCCAACUGGAGAGAGGCGGUUUCAGCCCCCAGAACCCCCGUCCUCCUGGACUGGCAUCCGAAAUACUACUCAGUUUGCUGCUGUGUGCCCCCAGCACCUGGAUGAGAGAUCCUUACUGCAUGACAUGCUGCCCAUCUGGUUUACCGCCAAUUUGGAUACUUUGAUGACCUAUGUUCAAGAUCAAAAUGAAGACUGCCUUUACUUAAACAUCUACGU
Molecule: small RNA, 894 nt
Filed under: Pan troglodytes (chimpanzee)
Lineage: Eukaryota; Metazoa; Chordata; Mammalia; Primates; Hominidae
Description: processed transcript
Source: RNAcentral